This is a long non-coding RNA of Symphalangus syndactylus (siamang), 586 nucleotides long. RefSeq lists it as uncharacterized. The record is from RefSeq and is a predicted model, not a curated record. NCBI's taxonomy places the organism in Eukaryota, Metazoa, Chordata, Mammalia, Primates, Hylobatidae.
CACUGCCUGUGUGUAACUGCCGUAGAACACAGAGGCAGGCCAGAGAGCGGAUAGGUGCUAUGCACCAGUGGCAUUCUGAGGUCACGGCACGCAUCACAAGGGGGCCUUGCCCGUGUCAGCAGGGCCCAGAGUCAGGGUCCUCCGCUGCCUGAGGCGUCAACAUGCCUGCCUGCAAUGUGUUUGUGCACGUGCGUGCACACGCGUACGUGGGUAAACACGUCUGUGCACGUGUGUGUUGCUUCUCUGGCCAGGCCCGGCUGCCCCACUCAUGGCCUAGGGGAUGCCAAAUUCCAGGGGCCAGAAAGAGCUCGAGAUAAAAUGAACCUGCAAGGGGAGGGCUUUGACCUGGGCUGAGUCUGCCUGUGCCAUCCAACUGGAGUCUCAAGUCCUGAGGCAGGACGUCCAGAUGCCCCAGUGCAGGGCCCUCCUGAUCAACACCUGCUCCCCUGUACUCAUUAGCAACCUCACCCACCCGACUCUCAAAGCACGCUUGGCUCUCGUAUCCAGGAGCUCUGCAUCUGUAGAUUCAGCAACAGCAGAUGGAAAAUAUUCAGAAAAUAAAUUGGAUGGUUAUGUUUCUAUUGAA